AUUGAACGCUGGCGGCAGGCCUAACACAUGCAAGUCGAACGGUAACAGGAAACAGCUUGCUGUUUCGCUGACGAGUGGCGGACGGGUGAGUAAUGUAUCGGAACGUACCCAGUAGCGGGGGAUAACUACGCGAAAGCGUGGCUAAUACCGCAUACGCCCUACGGGGGGAAGGGGGGGAUCGCAAGACCUCUCACUAUUGGAGCGGCCGAUAUCGGAUUAGCUAGUUGGUGGGGUCAAGGCCCACCAAGGCGACGAUCCGUAGCUGGUUUGAGAGGAAGACCAGCCACGCUGGGACUGAGACACGGCCCAGACUCCUACGGGAGGCAGCAGUGGGGAAUUUUGGACAAGGGGGGCAACCCUGAUCCAGCCAUCCCGCGUGUGCGAUGAAGGCCUUCGGGUUGUAAAGCACUUUUGGCAGAGAAGAAACGACUCUGGAUAAUACCCGGGGUUAAUGACGGUAUCUGCAGAAUAAGCACCGGCUAACUACGUGCCAGCCGCCGCCGUAA
Molecule: ribosomal RNA, 506 nt
Filed under: uncultured bacterium
Lineage: Bacteria
Description: partial 16S ribosomal RNA
Rfam family: Bacterial small subunit ribosomal RNA
Source: RNAcentral